GAGUUUGAUCGUGGCUCAGAUUGAACGCUGGCGGCAUGCCUUACACAUGCAAGUCGAACGGCAGCACGGGAGCUUGCUCCUGGUGGCGAGUGGCGAACGGGUGAGUAAUGCAUCGGAACGUAUCCUGGAGUGGGGGAUAACGUAGCGAAAGUUACGCUAAUACCGCAUAUUCUGUGAGCAGGAAAGCGGGGGACCUUCGGGCCUCGCGCUCUUGGAGCGGCCGAUGUCGGAUUAGCUAGUUGGUGAGGUAAAGGCUCACCAAGGCGACGAUCCGUAGCAGGUCUGAGAGGAUGAUCUGCCACACUGGAACUGAGACACGGUCCAGACUCCUACGGGAGGCAGCAGUGGGAAUUUUGGACAAUGGGGGCAACCCUGAUCCAGCCAUGCCGCGUG
This 393-nucleotide ribosomal RNA is filed under the name bacterium enrichment culture clone ALO1_GLFRUDD03HIQH1. RNAcentral's name for it is "bacterial SSU rRNA". It matches the Rfam family "Bacterial small subunit ribosomal RNA", at positions 9 to 403 of the family's 1533-position model. The record is from RNAcentral.